AAAAGUGAGAUGUAACAACGAAACUGAACCAACAUGCGAGUCUAAAGGAUUCGGUUCUUGGCAGACGGCUCAGUAACACGCGGAUAAUCUGCCCUUGGGUGGGGGAUAAUCUCGAGAAAUUGAGCAUAAUACCCCAUAGAUGCAGAGUGCUGGAAUGCUUCUGCGUUGAAAACUCCGGUGCCCAAGGAUGAGUCUGCGGCCUAUCAGGUCGUAGUGGGCGUAAAGGACCCACUAGCCUUCAACGGGUACGGGCCUUGAGAGAGGUAGCCCGGAGAUGGACUCUGAGACACGAGUCCAGGCCCUACGGGGCGCAGCAGGCGCGAAAACUUCGCAAUGUGGGAAACCACGACGAGGGGAUUCCAAGUGCUAGUACACUGUAUUAGCUGUUCGCGUGCCUAAAAAGCACGUGAAGUAAGGGCUGGGUAAGACGGGUGCCAGCCGCCGCGGUAAUACCCGCAGCCCGAGUGGUGAUCAUUAUUAUUGAGCCUAAAGCGUCCGUAGCCGGUCUGGUAAAUCCUUGGGUAAAUCAGGCAGCUUAACUGUCUGAAUUCCGGGGUGACUGCCAGACUUGGGACCGGGAGAGGUCAGAGGUACUCCGAGGGUAGGGGUGAAAUCCUGUAAUCCUCGGGGACCACCAGUGGCGAAGGCGUCUGACUAGAACGGAUCCGACGGUAAGGGACGAAGCCCUGGGGCGCAAACGGGAUUAGAUACCCCGGUAGUCCAGGGUGUAAACGCUGCAGGCUUGGUGUCGGGGGUCCUACGUGGGCACUCGGUGCCGGAGAGAAGUUGUUAAGCCUGCCGCUUGGGGAGUACGCUCGCAAGAGUGAAACUUAAAG
RNAcentral lists this ribosomal RNA (836 nucleotides) under uncultured archaeon. RNAcentral's name for it is "bacterial SSU rRNA". It matches the Rfam family "Archaeal small subunit ribosomal RNA", at positions 1 to 861 of the family's 1478-position model. The record is from RNAcentral.